CAGCCGCCGCGGUAAUACGGAGGGUGCAAGCGUUAUCCGGAUUCACUGGGUUUAAAGGGUGCGUAGGUGGGUUGGUAAGUCAGUGGUGAAAUCCCCGAGCUUAACUUGGGAACUGCCAUUGAUACUAUCAGUCUUGAAUACCGUGGAGGUUAGCGGAAUAUGUCAUGUAGCGGUGAAAUGCUUAGAUAUGACAUAGAACACCAAUUGCGAUGGCAGCUGGCUACACGAAUAUUGACACUGAGGCACGAAAGCGUGGGGAUCAAACAGGAUUAGAUACCCUGGUAGUCCACGCCCUAAACUAUGGAUACUCGACAUUUGCGAUACACUGCAAGUGUCUGAGCGAAAGCACUAAGUAUCCCACCUGGGAAGUACGAUCGCAAGAUUGAAACUCAAAGGAAUUGACGG
RNAcentral lists this ribosomal RNA (405 nucleotides) under uncultured bacterium. Its description in RNAcentral is "bacterial SSU rRNA". It matches the Rfam family "Bacterial small subunit ribosomal RNA", at positions 509 to 916 of the family's 1533-position model. The record is from RNAcentral.